UCUCCGGUGGCCUAGUGGUUAGAUCGUCCGCCUCGGAUGCAGGAGGUCGUUGGUUCGAUCCCGGUCAAGUCAUACCAAAGAU
This is a non-coding RNA of Potamilus streckersoni, 82 nucleotides long. Lineage: Eukaryota; Metazoa; Mollusca; Bivalvia; Unionida; Unionidae. The record is from the annotation of a GenBank genome assembly.